Molecule: ribosomal RNA, 253 nt
Filed under: uncultured bacterium
Lineage: Bacteria
Description: partial 16S ribosomal RNA
Rfam family: Bacterial small subunit ribosomal RNA
Source: RNAcentral
UACAGAGGGUGCAAGCGUUGUUCGGAAUUAUUGGGCGUAAAGGGCGCGUAGGCGGUGCGGUAAGUCUGCAGUGAAAUCUCUGGGCUCAACUCAGAGUCUGCUGUGGAAACUGCCGUGCUUGAGUGUGGGAGAGGUGAGUGGAAUUCCUGGUGUAGCGGUGAAAUGCGUAGAUAUCAGGAGGAACACCUGUGGCGAAAGCGGCUCACUGGACCAUAACUGACGCUGAUGCACGAAAGCUAGGGGAGCAAACAGG